This 85-nucleotide transfer RNA is filed under the name Felis catus (domestic cat). It matches the Rfam family "tRNA". From Rfam's summary of the family: Transfer RNA (tRNA) molecules are approximately 80 nucleotides in length. Their secondary structure includes four short double-helical elements and three loops (D, anti-codon, and T loops). Further hydrogen bonds mediate the characteristic L-shaped molecular structure. tRNAs have two regions of fundamental functional importance: the anti-codon, which is responsible for specific mRNA codon recognition, and the 3' end, to which the tRNAs corresponding amino acid is attached (by aminoacyl-tRNA synthetases). tRNAs cope with the degeneracy of the genetic code in two manners: having more than one tRNA (with a specific anti-codon) for a particular amino acid; and 'wobble' base-pairing, i.e. permitting non-standard base-pairing at the 3rd anti-codon position. Lineage: Eukaryota; Metazoa; Chordata; Mammalia; Carnivora; Felidae. RNAcentral also lists the same sequence under 3 other names. The record is from Rfam by way of RNAcentral.
GCCUGGGUGGCUCAGUUGGUUAAGCAUCUGACUUUGGCUCAGGUCACGAUCUCCAGGUUCUUGAGUUCAAGCCCCGCCUCAGGCU